RNAcentral lists this unclassified non-coding RNA (355 nucleotides) under Hevea brasiliensis (rubber tree). The record is from RNAcentral. Lineage: Eukaryota; Viridiplantae; Streptophyta; Magnoliopsida; Malpighiales; Euphorbiaceae.
AAUAACUUCACACAACUUGGCAAGUGAAGGUAAUCAAAUUGGUCAACUACAUUGGCGUUGAUCUGUUUGAUAUAUUCAGAUAUGGAAAGUUGAUGACUAAAUUGCAUUAUAUUCUAGGGAGUAAAAGAAAAGAAUGAGGAAACAAAAAUGGACGUGCUGGCUUCAAUAUCAUUUGAUAGCCUCUUUGCAGCCUUCAAGGUAAUAUAUUAUACAUAAUUAUGUAUAUAAAAAGAGCUCUUUCCAGAAACUUAACUCAAAAAAGUGAUUUUUUUGUAUUUUAUUUUAGUGAAUGCAUUACAUUUGUGAGUUUCAUAUUUACUUUUUUGUGUACAUAAAAGAUAAUAAAUUAAUAUAU